RNAcentral lists this ribosomal RNA (433 nucleotides) under uncultured bacterium. Its description in RNAcentral is "partial 16S ribosomal RNA". It matches the Rfam family "Bacterial small subunit ribosomal RNA", at positions 29 to 507 of the family's 1533-position model. The record is from RNAcentral.
AACGAACGCUGGCGGCAUGCUUAACACAUGCAAGUCGAACGAGACGGCCGUGCUUAGUGGCGAACGGGUGCGUAACGCGUUGGAACCUGCGUUUAGGUUCGGAAUAACUCUCCGGGAUGGGUGCUAGUAACGGGGAAUGUUUCCGGACCAAAGGUUUAUCGCCUUUGGAUGGGCCCGCGUUGUAUUAGUUAGGUGGUAGGGUAAAACCCUCCCAAGGCGUCGAUCCAUAGUUGGUCUGCGAGGGUGACCAGCCACACUGGAACUGAGACACGGCCCAGCCUCCUACGGGAGGCAGCAGUGGGGAAUAUUGGACGCUAGGCGAAAGCCUGAUCCAGCAGUGCCGCGUGAGUGAUGAAGGCCUUAGGGUUGUAAAGCUCUUUUACCCGGGAUGAUAAUGACAGUACCGAGAGAAUAAGCACCGGCUAACUCCGUG